RNAcentral lists this long non-coding RNA (8314 nucleotides) under Nicotiana benthamiana. RNAcentral's name for it is "long non-coding RNA (NBEN_LNC030576)". Lineage: Eukaryota; Viridiplantae; Streptophyta; Magnoliopsida; Solanales; Solanaceae. The record is from RNAcentral.
UUUUUUUUUGUUGGACACAGAUGACCAAUUAUCGUUUGCAUUAUGUUGUCCAGCUUCUCUUGAGUGUUGACUAGCAUCAGUAUGCUGUAAAUCAAAACCACCUUGACUUAGGCAGCAUUAGAGACAUCUGCAGCAGCUGUACCUAUAAAAGUGGUCCCAGUGCCUUUUUGUUGAACAAUAUGAUGGUGAUUAGAGGUAUCUUAUCGAACUGACUUCAGCGCAACAUCAUCAUCCGUAUGAGUUGCUGUUAUUUGAAUAAGUUCACUCACAUCAUCAUUGUUAUCUAUCCCAGAAGCAUGUCGAUCAACAUGACAUUGCAAAGCAAGUGUAGAAUCCUGCUUCAAAUGUACUGUCCAGUUGGUAAUAUUGUUACCAUUUGUACCAGAUGCCGCAAACUCCAAUUCCAUAACAUCACACUGAUCAUCUACUGUGUAGAAUCCCGCUUCGAAUGUACUGUCAAGUUGGUAAUAUUUUUAUCAUUUGUACAAGAUGCCGCAAUCUCCAAUUCCAUAACAUCACACUGAUCCUCCACCUUUUCAUUUUGCCUAGUCCAUUUAAUGACAUCCAAUGCUAUAUUUGCUUUUAAAAUUGAAUCUACACUAGCUGGUACAUUUAGCUGCCCUGGAACUAGUUGGUGCACAUUGUAGAUAUGGUGCUGUCCUUUGCAUAUUUCAGUUGAAUUGGUAGUCUGAGAAGUAACCAGAGCUGAUGCUUUAUUCAAGUCAUUACAUCCUUGUUGUCCAGGAUUUUUUAAAGCAUUAGACUUCUCCCCUGUUUGGACUAAUAAAACAGUAGGAUCUCUAGUAGCUUUGAAAGAAUAGAAGCUUCCAAAUUUGUACCAUAUCCCUGACCAAAUAAUGUAGUCUGCAUCAACUGCUGCUGCUCGACGAUAAUCUGUUUAGUCCUUUUUGCAUUUUUGUGCUGCGUCAGCAAUUGCAGCAGUAGGUUCUAAAUUUGGCGCGCCCAUAGCUGAACCAUCAUUUGGAACAGUAACUGCUGAUUUGGCCUUGAAAGAUCUGCUGCAGCUGGAACAUUUGAAGCAGUAACAAUUUGUUGUCCUGCUUCAUCAAUCACAUUAGGUUGAACCCCUUCAAUUCGUCGUCCUUCAAGAGUAGCAUUCAAGUACUCCCUAGCAUCACUUCCUAAUUUAGGCAAACUGCCCCUUAAUUCAGAUUCGUCAACAUGAACUGCUUCUUCAUUCAAAACCUCUGAAGUCCAACGACACGAUUUUACAUCGUGACCUUGAUGAUUACAAUACGUGCAGUAUUUAGGUAAACUAUUAAACACGAUCUGCUGGUCAUAUUCAACUAUUUUUUCAGAUUUCAUAUCUACUAUCUUGAUCUUGAUUUUCUUUGGGUGUUUGUCCAGUAAAUUAAUCAAGACUUUAACUCGUGUCAUACUAGGUAGCGUCCGAUACUUUAGUAGCCUUAUCUACUGCUAGAGGCUUUCCCACGGCAGAUGCGAUGGAUAUUAAGAAUUUUUUUGCGAAUAAAUUUUCUGGCAGUUCAGGAAUUGAAAUCCAAGCGACAGCUUUUGACGUUUCUUCACAAGGGUUAAAUCCCAUUGUCCAUGGGAAUGUCCUAAUGAAGAACUCGUCUCCUUUUGCCUUAACAUAACUAGUUGUUCUUGAUAACACAUUAGCAAAAUCUUCAAAUAGAUCGCAUCUUACCAGAAUAUGCCGAUAUUCUAACUAUCCAAUGUUGCAAUACCUUUGACGUCGACUUGUUUCGGCAAAAUUUGUCUCAGCUCCUGAAGCUCAAGCUUUCCAUAUGAAAAUUUAAUUACAACUGCUUGUUGAAGACCUUCCUCCCUAGUGAAUGCACUCACUUCAUCUACUGUGAAUUCAACUGUAGGUAUUCCGUAGUCAAACGUAACAGGACAGAGUUCCAACUUUGAGUUUUUUGCGGAAGAUUGUUUCUCAGCAAGUUGCGAAGCAUAUGUUUGUUUGGUAUCGAUAGUUGUUGGAUUUUCAGGAUUGAUUUGAAUAGCCUCUCCCACAGCAAAAGGGUGGGGAGAGGGCGUAGCAUCCAUGGUUGCUUUAUCCUUCAAACACAGUCCAUCACAUCCACGCUAUCAAAAGGAAUAACGCUGGAAAUUUGAAGAAAUUCUGGUUGCUACAGUAAAUCGUGAAUAUAAUAUUUAACAUGUAGGAAAAUUGGUUAUAGAUUUGAGGUAAAAAUCAAUUGGGGAUUGUUCGCAAAGAGAAGGGGAUCGUGUGACACUAAUUUUGUUACAAUCCACCGCCAAAAUCCGGAGGUAUGCCCGAUGAAUAGUGACGGAAACACUAUUCACCCUUCUUCAUAGAGAGAAUAUGUGACCACUAGCCCCUAGGAACCUUAUGCCUUCCACCUAAGAAGUAUUGGGGAGAGGUAAUUAGGGAGGCAUGUUAUUUCUUCUAUCACGACCCAAACCGAUGGGCCAUGACGGGUGCCCGGUACCUUACUCAACCGAGUACCGACAUAACAUAGAGACUCAAAGGCUACCAUAAGAUAACUAGAAUAAAACAUGUAAUACCAACUUAUAUAUAACAAAUAUGGGCCUAUAAGACCAAAAUGACCACUCGUAUACUAAACAUUGGCAACCAAGGCCAUACAAACUCUCACGUACAUGAUAUCGUUCUACAAGCCUUUAAGAAUACAUAAUAUCAUAAAGGUCAGGAUAGGGUCCCAUCAUUCCAAUCAUUACAGGUACUAAUCGUACCGACCCAAGCAACAACUCUAGAGUAAAUGGAGCGCACCAACAUCUUCCUCUGAUUUGAUAGCCUACUUGCAGGAUUCUUGACCUGUCAAUCAGAGAUUGCGGGCAUGAAACAUAGAGUCCCUAUGAAAAGUGAUGUUAGUACAAAUUAUGUACCGAGUAUGUAAGAAACGUAAAUAGGUACAUAACAGACAUGGAAGAAAAAUAGAGUAAAUGACUUAACUUGUAAAUCUGGAUAACUCUGUAAAUCAUGAAACAAUUAUAGUGUCAUGCAUAUGCCUAUGAAUGUCAUGUCGUGCAUAGGUACAUGCUUCACAACAUCAUCAGGCCUCUGAGGGCAUCCCAUCAUAUCAUCUCUGCCACCAUGGGUAAAAUCAUCAACGUAUACUAGCUGAUUAGGUGGUGGUGCGUGUAUAUAUAUAUAUAUAUAUAUAUAUAUAUAUAUGUGUGUGUGUGUGUGUGUGUGUGUGUGUGUGUGUCCUGCAAAUAAAGCAAAAACGGCUCCCAUAGAAAGUACAUAAUGGAAAUGUGCAACCACAUAAUAAGUAUCAUGUAGAGCAAUGUCUAGCCCAGAAUUAGCCAGAGUUAUUCCAGUGAGUCCUCCUAUGGUAAACAAAAAGAUGAACCCUACAGCAAAUAACAUGGGUGUUUUGUAGUGUAUCAAACCCCCUCACAUGUUAGCGAUCCAACUAAAGAUUUUGAUUCCAGCGGGGAAAGAUAUGAUCAUGGUAGUUGCGGUAAAGUAGGCACGGGUAUCAACGUCUAAGCCCACAGUAAACAUAUGAUGAGCCCAAACAAGAAAUCCAAGAACACCUAUACUAAUCAUGGCAUAAACCAUGCCUAGAUACCGAAAACCGGUUUUCCCGAAAAGUAGAAACGAUAUGACUUAUGAUACCGGAUCCAGGCAGAAUGGGAAUAUACACCUCUGGAUGAACGAAGAGCCACAAGAGAUGCUUGUAUAAUAUAGGGUCUCCCCCUCCAGCGGGAUCAGAAAAGGUUGUAUUAAAGUUUCGAUCGGUUAGUAACAUGGUAAUUGCCCCUGCCAGUCACUAGAACGGACCACAAAAAUAGAGGUGAUCUAUGCAUAGUCAUUCCGGGUCCACGCAUGUUGAAGAUAGUUGUUAUAAAAUUAAUAGAACCUAAAAUGGAUGAAACACCAGAUAGAUGAAGUCUAGAAAUUGCUAAAUCAACUGCUCCUCCAGAAUGGUUGGUAAUACCACUUAAGGGCGGAUAGACCGGCCACCCAGUGCCGCUACCCACUUCUACUAAGGCUGAUCUUAAUAUGAGCAAGAGACUUGGAGGCAACAACCAGAAUGAAAUAUUAUUUAAUCGUGGAAAUGCCAUGUCAGGCGCAGCUAUCAGAAUCGGAACACACCAAUUACCAAAUCCACCUAUCAUCGCCGGCAUAACUAUAAAAAAUAUCAUUAAAAAGCGUGAUCCGUUAUUAAAACAUUAUAAAGUUGAUUAUUCCCAGUUUCCCACCAAGAAUUUGAUCGUCGGGUCGUGCUAAUUCCAUACGAAUCAGUACUGAGAAGCAUGUGCCCAUCACUCCAGCAAUGGCACCGAAGAUGAAAUAAAGAGUCCCUAUAUCCUUGUGGUUAGUGGAGAACAGCCAUCGGACCGGAUUUGUCGUAAAAUUGAGAUUAUUUCGUUUCCUUCCUUAUCAGAGAGGGGCCCGCGGGGCUUAUUUAUUGAAAAAGGGGGAGUGAGGGGGGGGGAAGGAAGAAUGGAAAGCCCUCACUUUAUUGAUGGGACAUUUUGAUCCCCUUUUCCUCUCAUCCUCCCCUACGCAAGGGUCUUAUUUAGAAGCAAUCUAUGGAGUUUUCCCUUAUCCGAACGGGUUUUGCAAGAAAAUAGGAUUUCAUAUUGAGCUCCAAAUAUACGCUAUUGGGAUGGGAUGGCUCCUACUAGCUCUCCCCCCCUAAGAACCGCACGUGCGAGUUCCCCCGCAUACGGCUCAAGUGGCGAAGGCCCUUUCCUUCGCGCUUGGUAAGCGCUUCGCUGUAGCCAAGCUUACUGCUAGCCUAUCGGCUAGAGCCAAGCUUCGACCGCGACUGCUCGUCGCUUCUGGCCGCCUUAUUCCGUCACCCGAGAUCCAAGUCAGCACCGGCAAAGAUCCAGAGCCAAGCUUCGACCGCGACUACUCGUCACUUCUGGCCGCCUUAUUCCAUCACCUGAGAUCCAAGUCAGCACCGGCAAAGAUCUCUUGAUUCCUCGUGGUCGGGCCAGCUUGGAAGCAAGCUACCUCUUGCCUAUCUCACCUCCUUUAUUUAGCUGGGUGAGCCUUCGCUUUUUGGAUCGUCUUCUGCCCAAUGCGGUACUACCUAUUGGGUUUACCUAGUUCACAGGUCGACCCCAUGGCAGCAAGAAAAGGCGAUCUUGUGCUAUACUCUGGUGAUCUCUUUCCUACCGAGACACGCAAACUCCCAUCGUGUCUCAGAUCAUAUUCCGUGAAUCGAAAGGGGAAGCCUAAUCAUCUAUCAGCUCCUUUCGUAGAUCGGUGCGGUUUUACGAAGCGUCUAAGCACAGUUCACUCCCGUUGAUCAAUCAAGAGGGUUACCGCCACUCCUUAAUAAGGUUAUUUGUUGUAUCACUUCUUGCAUUCUGUCCCACGCUUCAUACCUCCUCUUUCUUCUUUAGGUAAGAUAAAGGGCCAUGCAUGGUGGGGUAGGAGCAUCCAGUCGCAAGCUUUUUGGCUUGACCAAGAAGUCUUAUGUCCUCCGAGUUGCACGACAUUUUAACCGAAAGAACUUGCGCAAUUCAUGCCUUUCUGUUUUUAUGACCAGAAAUUCUUUCUUUAUUUUCAUAUAUUUUUCUCUGGACUUUUUAUCAAUAUGAGGUGAUUGUAACACAGUAUAUAAGACUCGUGAUUCAGGCAAUCCAAUCUUCCGUGUGUAAGGCGGAAGCCCCCAAAAAUGGUUUUCAAAAAAUGGGUGAUCAAAAGAUCGAAUUACUAUGCCUAUCAUGGUGGUCGUUACCUUUGGAGGUCUUUCUUUUUGGUCCUCUUCUUGAUGUUCUAUUGAUCAGAAGCAUCCAGCAGCACCACGCAGGUUUAGAAUUCGAUUCUGAGGGCUAAGGCCCCCCUUUUCUUUUCCUCCUUGCCGUGUUUUGGCCACAAUUCAGAAAGGCCAAAAAGAGGUCUCCUAUUUCUCGUCCCAUAGAUAAUCUCCGAAUUGCGGAUCGCCCGAACCAGCCUAAGAUAGGGCUGGCUCUGACGAGUGCCAUUUCUUUCGAUUUGGCUCAACUACCUAUUUAAGGUAUUUUCAGAAAGUGCAGCCUCCCUAGUAGGGUGAUUAAAGAGUAGGCCGCGGAUUUCUGACCUCCAAGCCAGAACUAUAUGGGGGGAAACCCAUCCCGCACUAAUGCAACUUCAUCUUUUUUUUCCAGCAGCAUUUGUUUCUCCAAAAUACCCAAAAAGGGUGGGAGGUGCCUGGCCUCGUUCCUACCAAUGAAAUAGAGCGACAAUCGCUGUUGAAGCUCUACCCUCCUUUGGAUAUCAGGAAGGAGAGGUUGCUCUAAUUCCGGAACGAGGACCUCGCGUGGAAUGGGCGCAACCUCGGGCUCGGGAAGGCGCGGUUCUGGUUCUCUCGGAGGAGAGAAAUCAAGAGCGCCAGACGAGGAACCCCUUCCCCCGUCGCACGCGGCUCCGAAGCAGUCAAGAUACUCACUUGGUGAAUAAAAACUUGUCAUAAUCAGAAGGAAGAGAGCGGCCCCCAACCCCAAAAGGUUCCUUUGGAAAAGCUCUUUCUCCCUCCUAAUUCUGGUAGUCGUGGUUGAUUCGAGGAUCUUACGCGGCGGAGCGAACUCUUCUAUCGUCUUGCAUUUUCUCUGGCGGACCCCCCCCCCGUCCAUCGUACUGGAGCGAUUCGAGAAGAACGAUACUUCAGAAAGGCCAAAAAGGGGGUCUCCUAUUUCUCGUCCCAUAGAGAAUCUCCGCAUUGCCGAUCGCCCGAACCAGCCUAAGAUAGGGCUGGCUCUGACGAGUGCCAUCUCUUUCGAUCUGGCUCAAAUACCUAUUUAAGGUAUUUUCAGAAAGCGCAGCCUCCCUAGUAGGGUGGUUAAAGACUAGGCCGCGGAUUUCUGACCUCCAAUCCAGAACGAUAUGGGGGGGAAACCCAUCCCGCACCAAUGCAGCUUCUAUCUUUUUUUCCAGGAGCAUUUGUUUCUCCAAAAUACCCAAAAAGGGCGGGAGGUGCCUGGCCUCGUUCCUACCAAUGAAAUAGAGCGACAAUCGCUGUUGAAGCUCUACCCUCCUUUGGAUAUCAGGAAGGAGAGGUUGCUCUAAUUCCGGAACGAGGACCUCGCGUGGAAUAGGCGCAACCUCGGGCUCGGGAAGGUGCGGUUCUACUUCUCUCGGAGGAGAGAAAUCAAGAGCGCUAGACGAGGAACCCCUUUCUCCCGUCGCACGCGGCUACGAAGCAGUCAAGAUACUCACUUGUUGAAUAAAAGCUUGUCAUAAUCAGAAGGAAGAGAGCAGCCCCCAACCCCAAAAGGUUCCUUUGGAAAAGCUCUUUCUCCCUCCUAAUUAUGGUAGUCGUGCUUUAUUCGAGGAUCUUACGCAGCAGAGCAAACUCUUCUAUCGUCUUGCAUUUUCUCUUGAGGAACCCUUUCCUUCACUUGUCAUAAUCAGAAGGAAGAGAGCGGCCCCCAACCCCAAAAGGUUCCUUUGGAAAAGCUCUUUCUCCCUCCUAAUUAUGGUAGUCGUGGUUGAUUCGAGGAUCUUACGCGGCGGAGCGAACUCUUCUAUCGUCUUGUAUUUUCUCUGGCGGACCCCCCCUGGUCCAUCGUACUAGAACGAUUUGAGAAGAACGACAAGGCUCAUAUUAUAUAUCCUUUCUACAAUGCCUAUAGACGAAGUGCUUCGUUUCAGAUCAAUUCUUCGCUGCAAUCGCUUCGAUCCACCCACUCGGUGAAAAGAAUUCCUACCAGCAGACUUCGCUGUACUCAAAGUGAAUUGUCUAAGUGCUCUCCUUUGUCUCAUUGUUUAUCUCGUAGUCAUUUGAUUCCGCUCCUAAAGCUAGCUCCUACUCCUCCUCCUCCUCCUUUAGGAUAGGAUCCUCAUUGGUCCUUUUUACAUAACAUUCUAGGUAGCCUCCGGUCCGGUAGGUCGGUGCCCUCUAGCCAGUGACUAGCCCAGCUAUGGAGCUAGGUCUAACCCGCCACGUCAAGACUCUCUUUCGAAAGUGAGAUACCGCCUUUCAUAAGAGGGAAUGAUCACUCCGUCAUGCAGCAGAGCAGUGUUCAUCUAACUAGAAAUUUCAUAAGAGAAGAAGAAUCGUAGCGUAGGGUCGACAUAAACAAUAGGUUAAAUAGUCUAAUGAGAAAGCAUAUGUUCACGUUCGUAGUUGCAAUAAGUUUUCUUUUUUUAAUCGAGAUUGGCUUGUUCUUCAGUCUACCCUAAUGAAACCUAAAAUCUCACUCCCUCGCUUUCACUCCUAAAUGCAGCCGUGAUCUUUCCCUGUAACUCGAGAAAGAAUAAGAGAGAUGGGAUCUCCUUUAGGGGUUAAUCUAUCCGAAUGUCCUAACUAGGAAAAAGAGGCUGUCUCAGAUCAUGGGGAGUCAUCCUCCGUCUAAGGAGAAGAGGCGCCGAGAGAUUCAAUGACCAAACGUCUUGUCA